RNAcentral lists this ribosomal RNA (131 nucleotides) under Salmonella enterica subsp. enterica serovar Senftenberg. RNAcentral describes it as "partial 16S ribosomal RNA". It matches the Rfam family "Bacterial small subunit ribosomal RNA", at positions 1 to 122 of the family's 1533-position model. RNAcentral also lists the same sequence under 10 other names. The record is from RNAcentral. Lineage: Bacteria; Pseudomonadati; Pseudomonadota; Gammaproteobacteria; Enterobacterales; Enterobacteriaceae.
UUAAAUUGAAGAGUUUGAUCAUGGCUCAGAUUGAACGCUGGCGGCAGGCCUAACACAUGCAAGUCGAACGGUAACAGGAAGCAGCUUGCUGCUUCGCUGACGAGUGGCGGACGGGUGAGUAAUGUCUGGGA